RNAcentral lists this transfer RNA (72 nucleotides) under Toxocara canis (dog roundworm). It matches the Rfam family "tRNA". Rfam says of the family: Transfer RNA (tRNA) molecules are approximately 80 nucleotides in length. Their secondary structure includes four short double-helical elements and three loops (D, anti-codon, and T loops). The record is from Rfam by way of RNAcentral. Lineage: Eukaryota; Metazoa; Nematoda; Chromadorea; Rhabditida; Toxocaridae.
UAGGCAGUAGCUCAGUGGUAGAGCUUCCGCUUGGUACGCGGGAAGACCUGGGUUCGAUUUCCGGCUGCUUUC